UGGGGAAUAUUGCACAAUGGGCGCAAGCCUGAUGCAGCCAUGCCGCGUGUGUGAAGAAGGCCUUCGGGUUGUAAAGCACUUUCAGCGGGGAGGAAGGCGUUAAGGUUAAUAACCUUGGCGAUUGACGUUACCCGCAGAAGAAGCACCGGCUAACUCCGUGCCAGCAGCCGCGGUAAUACGGAGGGUGCAAGCGUUAAUCGGAAUUACUGGGCGUAAAGCGCACGCAGGCGGUCUGUCAAGUCGGAUGUGAAAUCCCCGGGCUCAAACUGGGAACUGCAUUCGAAACUGGCAGGCUAGAGUCUUGUAGAGGGGGGUAGAAUUCCAGGUGUAGCGGUGAAAUGCGUAGAGAUCUGGAGGAAUACCGGUGGCGAAGGCGGCCCCCUGGACAAAGACUGACGCUCAGGUGCGAAAGCGUGGGGAGCAAACAGG
RNAcentral lists this ribosomal RNA (429 nucleotides) under Chloroflexota bacterium. RNAcentral describes it as "Chloroflexi bacterium partial 16S ribosomal RNA". It matches the Rfam family "Bacterial small subunit ribosomal RNA", at positions 355 to 776 of the family's 1533-position model. Lineage: Bacteria; Bacillati; Chloroflexota. The record is from RNAcentral.